Bos taurus (domestic cattle) is the source of this 2601-nucleotide long non-coding RNA. Lineage: Eukaryota; Metazoa; Chordata; Mammalia; Artiodactyla; Bovidae. The record is from Ensembl.
AGAAACAUACACUUGCUGUGAGAGCCGGACCAGCCUCUGUGGGUGUGGGCAAGGCGUGAUGGGGUGCAGCAGAGGUUGGGGGAGAGGCAGCACCCACAGGGUCAUCAGGAGGUGUGAGGGGACAAGAAAAGGCGGGGAUCCAAUGGGAGUGGCCCAGAGUGUUGUCCAGAACACACAGACAAGGCUGAGAAGUGUGCCCCGUGGGUCAUGAGGUGGCUGCAGAGCUGUCACUCACCUGCAGAGCUGGGAAGAGAUGUGACGAGAGAGGAGAUGGACUGGCUCUCAGUGGACACAGACCUGGUGGUGGGGAGGGAGGAGCUUCCGUGUGCAGUGAUGGAGCUGGCUAGGAACACAGUAGUCUGCAGCCUGGUGGUACUCGGCUGUCUGGUGGUGAGGUUGGUGGCUGGAGAACUUGGGACGGCUGUCACCCCCAGUGUAGAAGACAGGAGGCCGUGGGUGGGGGUUUGGGUGGUGAGAGAGGUGGACUGGGCGGUGGUGGACUGAGAGGAUGGGACAGAGGAAGUGGGACUGCUGACCGUGGUCCGGGGUGUAGACAGGAUGACCGUACUAACAGUGGGGGCAGGGGACAGGGUGGGAGCUGAUGGAGGUGACAGGGAGGCCCUGAUGGGUGUGGAGGCGGCUGGGGAAGGGGGGCUGGUUGGCAGGGACGCUGUUUGUGACAUGGUCAGAGGUGCAGAGGGCGAGGGACUGUGUGGAGCUGAGCUGACGCUUGGGAUGCUGUGUGAAGUGGAGACUGCAGAAGGGGAAGGGGAAGACGAUAUCAAAGGAGAGGUGUUCGAGGACCCGUGAGGAGGAGGAGAGGAAACAGUGGGCAAGGAGGAGGGGAUUGGGACAGUGGAAGAAGAGGGGUAAUGGGGAAGAGUCGACACAGAAACAGAAGUGGUUAAAGGACUUUGGCUUGGGUUCAGAGAAGCUGGAGAAGACAAUGGAGAGCUGAAGCUAGAGCUUUGUAGUGGUGCUGUGCUGACUGAGCUCUGGGUUUGUGUGGUCCCUGUUGUGGUCUUUGUGAGUGGCAGGGUUGUGGGUGUGGUGCUCCCUAUUGUUGUUGUCAGCAGUGGGGAUAUGGAUGUGGGUGCCAUGGAUGUGACCGGGACGUGUGUCAAUGGCGUUGGGGUGCCAGUAGGCUUUGUGGUGGAGUAGGUAGCAUGGGACUCAGUUGGGGUGAUGACUUGGUGAGAGGUUGAAGUCACAGAUGUUGACACAUGGAUGGGAAGGGUCUCUGGAUGUGAUGGGGUGGAAUGGGUGGUGGUGGUCCGGAAGGAUGUUCCUGUUGGCAGAACUGUUGUGUGAGAGGUGGUGUGGACAGAAAAGGUGGCACUGGAGUGAGUGGUGAAUGGAGUGUGUGGCCCAGUGGGGGCAGCUGUUGUGUGUGUCACGGGUGUUCCAGUGCCUCUACUGGUAGAUGGAAGGGAGAUAGUACUGAGCAGUGGAGAAGUGCUUACAGGGAGGAUGGUUGAAGUAGAAUGUGAUAUUGGGGCUGUGGAGGUUGUUAUUGUGCUGACCAAGUUUUGGGCUUGAGUGGUCCCUGUUGUGGUCUUUGUCAGUGGUGGGACUGUAGGUGCAGUGGUCUUUGUCAGUGGUGUGGCUGUGGAUGUAGUGGUCUCUGUGGUGGUCUUUGUCAGUGGUGUGGCUAUAGGUGUGGUGGACCCUAUGGUGGUCUUUGUCAGUGGUGUGGCUGUGGUGGUUUCUGUUGUGGUCUUUGUCAGUGGUGUGGCUGUGGUGGUCUCUGCGGUGGUCUUUGUCAGUGGUGUGGCUGUGGUGGUCUCUGCGGUGGUCUUUGUCAGUGGUGUGGCUGUGGUGGUCUCUGUGGUGGUCUUUGUCAGUGGUGUGGCUGUGGGUGUGGUGGUCUCUAUCAGUGGUGUGGCUGUGGGUGUGGUGGUCUCUAUCAGUGGUGUGGCUGUGGGUGUGGUGGUCUCUGUCAGUGGUGUGGCUGUGGUGGUCUCUGUGGUGGUCUUUGUCAGUGGUGUGACUGUGGGUGUGGUGGUCUCUGUCAGUGGUGUGGCUCUGGGUGUGGUGGUUUCUGCUGUGGUGGUUGUCAGUGGUGUGCCUGUGGGUGUGAUGGUCUUUGUCAGUGGUGUGGCUGUAGUGGUGUCUGUGGUGUGGUGGGGCUGUGGUGGGUUCUGUGGUAGUCUUUGUCAGUGGUGUGGCUGUGGGUGUAGUGGUUUCUGUGGUGGUCUCUGUCAGUGGUGUGACUGUGGGUGUAGUGGUUUUUGUGCUGGUCUCUGUCAGUGGAGUGGCUGUGGAUGUGGUAGUUUUUCUGGUUGUCUUUGUCAGUGGUGUGCCUGUGGGUGUGGUGGUCUCUGUCAGUGGUGUGGCUGUGGAUGUGGUAGUUUUUCUGGUUGUCUUUGUCAGUGGUGUGGCUGUGGGUGUGGUGGUCUCUGUCAGUGGUGUGGCUGUGGGUGUGGUAGUCUCUGUCAGUGGAGUGGCUGUGGAUGUGGUAGUUUUUCUGGUUGUCUUUUGGAGUGGCUGUGGAUGUGGUAGUUUUUCUGGUUGUCUUUGUCAGUGGUGUGGCUGUGGGUGUGGUGGUCUCUGUCAGUGGUGUGGCUGUGGGUGUGGUAGUCUCUGUCAGUGGAGUGGCUG